RNAcentral lists this ribosomal RNA (374 nucleotides) under uncultured organism. Its description in RNAcentral is "partial 16S ribosomal RNA". It matches the Rfam family "Bacterial small subunit ribosomal RNA", at positions 527 to 896 of the family's 1533-position model. The record is from RNAcentral.
GUAGGUGGCAAGCGUUUGUCCGGAAUUAUUGGGCGUAAAGCGCGCGCAGGCGGUUCUUUAAGUCUGAUGUGAAAGCCCACGGCUCAACCGUGGAGGGUCAUUGGAAACUGGAGAACUUGAGUACAGAAGAGGAAAGCGGAAUUCCACGUGUAGCGGUGAAAUGCGUAGAGAUGUGGAGGAACACCAGUGGCGAAGGCGGCUUUCUGGUCUGUAACUGACGCUGAGGCGCGAAAGCGUGGGGAGCAAACAGGGAUUAGAUACCCUGGUAGUCCACGCCGUAAACGAUGAGUGCUAAGUGUUAGGGGGUUUCCGCCCCCUUAGUGCUGCAGCUAACGCAUUAAGCACUCCGCCUGGGGAGUACGGCCGCAAGGCUG